GUUCUAUUUAACAUAGUGGAUUGACCGGAUGGAUUUUAUCUUCUCUUUUACCUAAAACUCUGCAUAAUCGUUUAAAUAUAUUAUUCACAAUAACAAAGAACAUGAGAGGAAAAACAGUAACCAGUGAGAUAUUUCAACAAGGGUACAGAAGGCAGGAACAGAUGAGAGGUGGUAAAGUACAGGGAACGUGUCUACAGCUGAAGACAUGGACAGGAAGAGGUCGUUUACCACAAGGAGCCCAACAAAAAGGGUCUCUUUCCAUAGCUGGGCCGCAGGGCAGGAGCUCUCUCCCUCCUCCAUCUCGCAGGGAUGGGGGUGCUCCAGGCAGGGGACCCAGGAAAAGUCUCCUCAGUGCAGGAGCCCCUGACCACCUGCUCCCAGACAAUCGGAAGCCCGGGUGGGCAGCCUUCCCCCCACGGGGGAAAUGAAUGACGCCCCCAGCCCACAGGCCCUACCGUGAUUCAGUCUGGUUUUUAGUACCUCAGUCGUCAGUGUGAAAGGACAGUCCAGCAUCACAAGAAAUUUGAUUUUUAAAAAAUAAUGAAAAUUACAAAAAUUAACAUAGAGUUAGCAGUCUAUAAAGAGAGCAGAAAAAAACUUAAAAAAAAAAACCUAUAUUAACAUCCUUAGAUAGGCAAAUCCUGCAUUCAUAAAACAGCAAGAUGAACGCACAUGUGCAUACAGAGAAUAAAUCACAGCUCCUGCAAUUUGUAGGAAUGAUAACUAAAAUAAAACAAAAUUUUUGGCCAGGUGCAGUGGCUCAUGUCUGCAAUCCCAGCACUUUGGGAGGCUGAGGUGGGAGGAUUACGAGGUCAAGAAAUCAAGACCAUCCUGGCCAACAUGGUGAAACCCUGUCUCUACUAAAAAUACAAAAAUUAGCUGGGCGUGGUGUUGGGCGCCUGUAGUCCCAGCUACUCGGGAGGCUGAGGCAGGAGAAUGGCAUGAACCUGGGAGGAGGAGCUUGCAGUGAGCCGAGAUCCCGCCACUGCAUUCCAGCCUGGGUGACAAAGCGAGACUCCGUCUCAAAAAAAAAAAAAAAAAA
Molecule: long non-coding RNA, 1042 nt
Filed under: Macaca fascicularis (crab-eating macaque)
Lineage: Eukaryota; Metazoa; Chordata; Mammalia; Primates; Cercopithecidae
Description: lncRNA (ENSMFAG00000061056.1)
Source: RNAcentral